Molecule: small nuclear RNA, 22 nt
Filed under: Arabidopsis thaliana (thale cress)
Lineage: Eukaryota; Viridiplantae; Streptophyta; Magnoliopsida; Brassicales; Brassicaceae
Description: snRNA_11767
Source: RNAcentral
GUGGCCUUGCUGCCACGAUCCA